GACGAACGCUGGCGGCGUGCUUAACACAUGCAAGUCGAACGGAAAGGCCCUGCUUUUGUGGGGUGCUCGAGUGGCGAACGGGUGAGUAACACGUGAGUAACCUGCCCUUGACUUUGGGAUAACUUCAGGAAACUGGGGCUAAUACCGGAUAGGAGCUCCUGCUGCAUGGUGGGGGUUGGAAAGUUUCGGCGGUUGGGGAUGGACGCGCGGCUUAUCAGCUUGUUGGUGGGGUAGUGGCUUACCAAGGCUUUGACGGGUAGCCGGCCUGAGAGGGUGACCGGCCACAUUGGGACUGAGAUACGGCCCAGACGCGUACGGGAGGCAGCAGGGGGGAAUAUUGCACAAUGGGCGGAAGCCUGAUGCAGCAACGCCGCGUGCGGGAUGACGGCCUUCGGGUUGUAAACCGCGUUCGCCUGUGACGAAGCGUGAGUGACGGUAAUGGGUAAAGAAGCACCGGCUAACUACGUG
RNAcentral lists this ribosomal RNA (468 nucleotides) under uncultured bacterium. RNAcentral's name for it is "partial 16S ribosomal RNA". It matches the Rfam family "Bacterial small subunit ribosomal RNA", at positions 28 to 507 of the family's 1533-position model. The record is from RNAcentral.